AAGUCGUAACAAGGUUUCCGUAGGUGAACCUGCGGAAGGAUCAUUAUUGAGAGAGGGGCUUCGCGCUCCCGGGGGCUCGGCCCCCCAACCAUCUUCACCCACUGUUAACCUACCUUUGUUGCUUUGGCGGGGCCUUGAGUUCAUGUCAUGCCAGCCCCCGGGGCCCACCCCGGGCCAGCGUGUGCCCGUCAGAGGUCCUUUUAAAUUCUGUCUAUUGGUGUCGUCCGGCUAUAUUCAAUCAUCAAAA
This 247-nucleotide unclassified non-coding RNA is filed under the name plant metagenome. RNAcentral's name for it is "partial contains small subunit ribosomal RNA and internal transcribed spacer 1". The stretch from base 1 to 46 matches the Rfam family "Eukaryotic small subunit ribosomal RNA", at positions 1786 to 1831 of the family's 1831-position model. The record is from RNAcentral.